GGGAGACUUAAUCUUCCUUGAUCCAAAUCUAAUUCAUCUUGACCAUUUGAUCAAGUGAAUGGCUUUGCAUUAAGGAUAGGUUGUUUCCUAAAUCAUGCAAAGGACUUAAACCAAUACAAGAUCAAUUCUCUUUUUCUUUUUUUGGCAUGGCAAGUUGUUGGAACUUGGUUCACUAAUCAAGACUUCUAACUUGUGUUGUUGCCUACAUUAUU
Molecule: long non-coding RNA, 212 nt
Filed under: Lathyrus oleraceus (garden pea)
Lineage: Eukaryota; Viridiplantae; Streptophyta; Magnoliopsida; Fabales; Fabaceae
Description: Pisum sativum (pea) long non-coding RNA (PSAT_LNC012427)
Source: RNAcentral